GCCAGCAAUAAUCACAUGAAAAAAUGUUCUAAAUCACUCUUGAUUAGAGAAAUGCAAAUUAAAACAACUCUGAGGUACCACCUCACACCUACCAGAUUAGCCAAUGAGUCAGUAAAGGAAAGUGGUCAAUGUCAGAGGGAAUGUGGCAAAAUUGGGACACUAAUACAAUGUUGAUGUAGUUGAGAACUGAUCCAACUAUUCUGGAGGACAAUUUGGAAUUAUACCCAAAGGGUUAUAAAACUAUCUUACCCUUUGAUCUGAUAAUACCACUACUGGGUCUUUAUCCCAAAGAGAUAAUUAAAAAUGGGAAAGGACCUACUUGUACAAAAAUAUUUAUAGCAGCCCUUUUUGUGGUGGCAAAGAAUUGGAAAUUAAGGGGAUCUUCAUCAAUUAGGGAAUGACCAAACAAAUUGUGGUAUACAAUGGUGAUGGAAUAGUAUUGUGCUAUAAGAAAUGAUAAGCAAGAUGAUUUCAGAAAAAGCUAGAAAGAUCUGUGGGAACUGAUACAGAGUGAAAUAAUCAGAACUGUAAGAAUAUUGUACACAGUAACAGUAAUACUGGAUGAUGAUUAUCUGUGAAAACUCAGCUACUCUCAGCAAUGCAAUGAUCUGGUACAAUUUUGAAAGACUUAUAAUGGGAAAUGCUAUCCACCUCCAGAGAAAGAGCUGUCUUUCGCAUCUGUGACUCUUUCAUUAUUUUAUUGUCUGGAUUUAAGAAAAGUCAGCUGAGUGGCAGUGUGAAUAGAAGACUGGGCAUAGAGUCAAGAAGAUCUAAAUUCAAAUCCAGCCUCAGAUAUCUACUAGCUCUUCAAUUUUGGACAAGUCCCUUAAUUCCUAUUUGCUUCAGCUUCUCAUCUGUAAAAUGGGAAUACACUGGAGAAGGAAAUGAGAAACCACUCCAAUAUCUUUGCCAACACUAUCCCAGAGUCCAUGGGGUCACAGAGAGUCAAAUACAACUGAACAACAGAAAUAAGACUUAACGAAGUGAUAAAGAAGUGUUAGCAAUGAAAAUCAAUCUUUAAAAAGUGUCACUCUUUUCAGAAACACAAUUAAGUAUUUACCAGAACACCUCUGGAUUUAAUAAGGAAAUGAAUAUUUCCUAUAAAUUCUGAAGUAUGAUAGGAGUUGGGGUUAGUAAACAAGCAAGUACAAUUUGUAUUAUUAUUUUUCAAAUAAAGAAAAAUACUAGACCCA
Molecule: long non-coding RNA, 1193 nt
Filed under: Monodelphis domestica (gray short-tailed opossum)
Lineage: Eukaryota; Metazoa; Chordata; Mammalia; Didelphimorphia; Didelphidae
Description: lncRNA (ENSMODG00000050645.1)
Source: RNAcentral